Molecule: ribosomal RNA, 433 nt
Filed under: uncultured bacterium
Lineage: Bacteria
Description: partial 16S ribosomal RNA
Rfam family: Bacterial small subunit ribosomal RNA
Source: RNAcentral
AACGAACGCUGGCGGCAUGCCUAACACAUGCAAGUCGAACGAGAACUUCGGGUCUAGUGGCGCACGGGUUCGUAACGCGUGGGAACCUGCCCUUAGGUUCGGAAUAACUCUCCGACAGGGGUGCUAACACCGGAUAAUGUCUUCGGACCAAAGAUUUAUCGCCCUUGGAUGGGCCCGCGUUGGAUUAGCUAGUUGGUAGGGUAAAAGCCUACCACGGCGACGAUCCAUAGAUGGUCUGAGAGGAUGAUCAGCCACACUGAGACUGAGACACGGCCCAGACUCCUACGGGAGGCAGCAGUGGGGAAUAUAGGACAAUGGGCGGAAUCCUGAUCCAGCAAGGCCGCGUGAGUGAUGAAGGCCUUAGGGUUGUAAAGCUCUUUUACCCGGGAUGAUAAUGACAGUACCGGAAGAAUAAGCUCCGGCUAACUCCGUG